RNAcentral lists this unclassified non-coding RNA (570 nucleotides) under Hevea brasiliensis (rubber tree). The record is from RNAcentral. Lineage: Eukaryota; Viridiplantae; Streptophyta; Magnoliopsida; Malpighiales; Euphorbiaceae.
AGAGAGAGCGAGAGCGAGAGCAAGCGUUAACAAGCUGUAAAUAAGAAUUGCAUACAAACCAUAAGGUAUUUAUAUGCUUUCAUCUGUGUUUAGGAACCAUUGCUUGGUGCAGUGGUAAAAAUUUUGGGCUUUCAAGCACGUUGUUGCAGAUCUGAAGUUGUGACAGCAAGUUUUUCAUACAAAAUUGUUAGACGUAGAAUUCAUAUUCUUCCUUCCAAUUCCCCAUGUCAUGGGACCAUAACUGGGUGAUGGCUUUUUCACUUUGGCUUAUGUGCUUUAAAUGUUGAAAUUCAUGUGUAAAAGGAGUUGAAUAUGAACUGGAGAAAGUCAACUACUUUUGCUUCAUUUGUUAUGUGAACUUUUCAUGUUUGGCUCCUAUAAUAUAUCAUUGUUAUCAUGCAUUUUUGUGACUAUUACAGUUUAUAUGUAGGAUGAUAUUGGGAUGUGAAAUCUAAAUCUAAUGAGCAAAGCUGCUAGCUUUUCUAGGAUGUAGGAAGUUUGAGAGUUCUGUGGGUAUUAGAAUUUCUCUACAUUGGCUGAUUCUUCUUUUUCCAUUUUUCCUUUUCUUUU